This 464-nucleotide ribosomal RNA is filed under the name uncultured bacterium. RNAcentral describes it as "partial 16S ribosomal RNA". It matches the Rfam family "Bacterial small subunit ribosomal RNA", at positions 28 to 507 of the family's 1533-position model. The record is from RNAcentral.
GACGAACGCUGGCGGCGUGCUUAACACAUGCAAGUCGAACGGAAAGGCCCAGCUUGCUGGGUGCUCGAGUGGCGAACGGGUGAGUAACACGUGGGUGAUAUGCCUCUAACUUCGGGAUAAGCUUGGGCAACUGGGUCUAAUACCGGAUAGGACAAUCGUUUAGUGUCGGUUGUGGAAAGUUUUUUCGGUUAGGGAUGAGCCCGCGGCCUAUCAGCUUGUUGGUGGGGUAAUGGCCUAACAAGGCGUCGACGGGUAGCCGGCCUGAGAGGGUGGCCGGCCACAUUGGGACUGAGAUACGGCCCAGACGCCUACGGGAGGGAGCAGUGGGGAAUAGUGCACAAUGGGCGCAAGCCUGAUGCAGCGACGCCGCGUGGGGGAUGAAGGCCUUCGGGUUGUAAACCUCUUUCGACAGGGACGAAGCUGUGGUGACGGUACCUGUAUAAGAAGCACCGGCUAACUACGUG